UAGGUCAAUUGAAGAAGAGUAGGUGUUUGAUGAAUGCAUAGAGAGAAAGACACGUACACAAUGCAGCCUUUGAAAAGUUGAAGUGAUAAUAAUUUCCCUGCCUGGCUUAUCACUUUCAGACGGGAAAGCAGAAUGACAAAAAUACCCCUAUUUGGCAAUAGUUGAAAAGUGUUCGACAGUUUUCCCUUCUGUAUAAUAUAUCUAUAAUAAGUACAUGUACUGUAUGAAAAAAAUAAAAUAGUACAAUUUAACUUGCUUUUGGUACAACUUUUUUAUUCUAUGUUAGUCCUCUCUAACUGUCUCUUCUAAAUAAGGGUAAGGUAAUGAUAGAACCCAAGGAGAAGCUGAAACAGAGCAAUAAUCACACAUACAUGAUACGACUCAAAUUUGAACUUGGAAAAGAGAUUGUUACCUGAACUGUAUUUGCUCUUUCUGCGUGUUUGGAAAUUUCAACAAUGGCAAAGCGCAAAAUUUAUUAAUUCCCUGUAAAUAAAUAGACAAAAUAAAGGAAAAAUCAAAGAAAUUAAGAACGUUUGAUAGUAUUUUCUCUACAAUUUGAAGAGCUUUAGAAAGAAUAACCUAGAAUGAAA
This 590-nucleotide long non-coding RNA is filed under the name Solanum tuberosum (potato). RNAcentral's name for it is "long non-coding RNA (STUB_LNC003736)". Lineage: Eukaryota; Viridiplantae; Streptophyta; Magnoliopsida; Solanales; Solanaceae. The record is from RNAcentral.